Molecule: ribosomal RNA, 1317 nt
Filed under: Salmonella enterica
Lineage: Bacteria; Pseudomonadati; Pseudomonadota; Gammaproteobacteria; Enterobacterales; Enterobacteriaceae
Description: partial 23S ribosomal RNA
Rfam family: Bacterial large subunit ribosomal RNA
Source: RNAcentral
ACACGAAAUCGUACCCCAAACCGACACAGGUGGUCAGGUAGAGAAUACCAAGGCGCUUGAGAGAACUCGGGUGAAGGAACUAGGCAAAAUGGUGCCGUAACUUCGGGAGAAGGCACGCUGACACGUAGGUGAAGUGAUUUACUCACGGAGCUGAAGUCAGUCGAAGAUACCAGCUGGCUGCAACUGUUUAUUAAAAACACAGCACUGUGCAAACACGAAAGUGGACGUAUACGGUGUGACGCCUGCCCGGUGCCGGAAGGUUAAUUGAUGGGGUCAGCGCAAGCGAAGCUCCUGAUCGAAGCCCCGGUAAACGGCGGCCGUAACUAUAACGGUCCUAAGGUAGCGAAAUUCCUUGUCGGGUAAGUUCCGACCUGCACGAAUGGCGUAAUGAUGGCCAGGCUGUCUCCACCCGAGACUCAGUGAAAUUGAACUCGCUGUGAAGAUGCAGUGUACCCGCGGCAAGACGGAAAGACCCCGUGAACCUUUACUAUAGCUUGACACUGAACAUUGAGCCUUGAUGUGUAGGAUAGGUGGGAGGCUUUGAAGUGUGGACGCCAGUCUGCAUGGAGCCGACCUUGAAAUACCACCCUUUAAUGUUUGAUGUUCUAACGUGGACCCGUAAUCCGGGUUGCGGACAGUGUCUGGUGGGUAGUUUGACUGGGGCGGUCUCCUCCUAAAGAGUAACGGAGGAGCACGAAGGUUGGCUAAUCCUGGUCGGACAUCAGGAGGUUAGUGCAAUGGCAUAAGCCAGCUUGACUGCGAGCGUGACGGCGCGAGCAGGUGCGAAAGCAGGUCAUAGUGAUCCGGUGGUUCUGAAUGGAAGGGCCAUCGCUCAACGGAUAAAAGGUACUCCGGGGAUAACAGGCUGAUACCGCCCAAGAGUUCAUAUCGACGGCGGUGUUUGGCACCUCGAUGUCGGCUCAUCACAUCCUGGGGCUGAAGUAGGUCCCAAGGGUAUGGCUGUUCGCCAUUUAAAGUGGUACGCGAGCUGGGUUUAGAACGUCGUGAGACAGUUCGGUCCCUAUCUGCCGUGGGCGCUGGAGAACUGAGGGGGGCUGCUCCUAGUACGAGAGGACCGGAGUGGACGCAUCACUGGUGUUCGGGUUGUCAUGCCAAUGGCACUGCCCGGUAGCUAAAUGCGGAAGAGAUAAGUGCUGAAAGCAUCUAAGCACGAAACUUGCCCCGAGAUGAGUUCUCCCUGAGACUUUAGGUCUCCUGAAGGAACGUUGAAGACGACGACGUUGAUAGGCCGGGUGUGUAAGCGCAGCGAUGCGUUGAGCUAACCGGUACUAAUGAACCGUGAGGCUUAACCUUACA